RNAcentral lists this non-coding RNA (19 nucleotides) under Arabidopsis thaliana (thale cress). RNAcentral also lists the same sequence under 1 other name. Lineage: Eukaryota; Viridiplantae; Streptophyta; Magnoliopsida; Brassicales; Brassicaceae. The record is from RNAcentral.
GCUCUGAAUGUCAAAGUGA